RNAcentral lists this ribosomal RNA (411 nucleotides) under Triticum aestivum (bread wheat). RNAcentral describes it as "partial small subunit ribosomal RNA". The record is from RNAcentral. Lineage: Eukaryota; Viridiplantae; Streptophyta; Magnoliopsida; Poales; Poaceae.
AUGAUAUACCUUGUACAUCAUCUUCCUCCCGCGAACGACACUUCAAAGUCAACUUCCUCCAACCAGUGGCACUUUGGCAUUGUCUUCCUCCAGCGGACACCAGCUGGCUCCAUCGAGCAAUCAGACCACCUCAAGGCCUCAAGGAGUAUGGCACCCAAACCACUGAAUUCAUUGACUACACGAAACGAGACAUGGACCAUCAAAGUCAAAGUCUCAAAGUCUUACGACUUUAGGACACAAUUAACUUAUCAACUAAUGAACUCAUUAGCACUGAUAAAAUUUUGUGAGAUAAAAAGGUCCAAGUAUUACAUAUAUAAUGUCUCUUCAGUUUUCCUUUUCCAAAGCUUGCUAAUGUUCUCUCUGUGUAGGGCAAUGCAAUCCAUGCUUCUAUUGGGAACAAAUUGUCAAUAA